UACGUAGGGCGCAAGCGUUAUCCGGAAUUAUUGGGCGUAAAGAGCUCGUAGGCGGUUUGUCGCGUCUGCCGUGAAAGUCCGGGGCUCAACUCCGGAUCUGCGGUGGGUACGGGCAGACUAGAGUGAUGUAGGGGAGACUGGAAUUCCUGGUGUAGCGGUGAAAUGCGCAGAUAUCAGGAGGAACACCGAUGGCGAAGGCAGCUCGCUGGGACGGUACUGACGCUGAGGCGCGAAAGCUAGGGGAGCGAACAGG
RNAcentral lists this ribosomal RNA (253 nucleotides) under uncultured bacterium. RNAcentral's name for it is "partial 16S ribosomal RNA". It matches the Rfam family "Bacterial small subunit ribosomal RNA", at positions 524 to 776 of the family's 1533-position model. The record is from RNAcentral.